RNAcentral lists this ribosomal RNA (253 nucleotides) under uncultured bacterium. RNAcentral's name for it is "partial 16S ribosomal RNA". It matches the Rfam family "Bacterial small subunit ribosomal RNA", at positions 524 to 776 of the family's 1533-position model. The record is from RNAcentral.
UACGUAGGGGGCAAGCGUUGUUCGGAAUUAUUGGGCGUAAAGAGCGCGCAGGUGGUUAAUUAAGUCAGAUGUGAAAGCCCACGGCUUAACCGUGGAGGGUCAUUGGAAACUGGUUGACUUGAGUGCAGAAGAGGGAAGUGGAAUUCCAUGUGUAGCGGUGAAAUGCGUAGAGAUAUGGAGGAACACCAGUGGCGAAGGCGGCUUCCUGGUCUGCAACUGACACUGAGGCGCGAAAGCGUGGGGAGCAAACAGG